Non-coding RNA from Nelumbo nucifera (sacred lotus), 1466 nucleotides. The record is from RefSeq and is a predicted model, not a curated record. NCBI's taxonomy places the organism in Eukaryota, Viridiplantae, Streptophyta, Magnoliopsida, Proteales, Nelumbonaceae.
AACCCCUGAUUUUGCAAUGAUGUCUGCAACAGUGGUUUGCUCCCUAAGAAUCCAGACCAGAUUUACAUUCAAUGACUCUAAGAUAUCUUGAGCUUCAACUAGCAGAUGAGCAAAUCUCCAAGGCCCUCCUUCCUUCUCCCUUAGCCAGGCUAUCGUAUUUGCAGAGUCCCCUUUUAUAGUUAAGGAGCAAAAGCCCAACUGUUUAGCAAGCCAAAUUCCUGCAAGUGCUGACAAGACCUCUGCUUUUAUAGCAUCAACUCUCCCAAUCAGACCACUAUAAGCCCAGCUGAUCCCCCACAGAAGACACCACCAUUUCCUGCUUGGCUGGUAGAUCCUUGGGCACUACCAUCAAAGUGUAGGAUCAUCCCACCUUCUUCCAUAAUAAGGCUUCUCAUGGUUGAUUCAGCUCUAGGAGAGGACUGUAGGAUGGCUGGAAGGUUACUUUGGAGGUCAUUUAGAGACAGACCUUUGAAAGCUUCAGAAUUAACCACCCAAAGGUUACAGAGGAAAGUUAUGUAAGAGAUUGGGUCUUCCACAUUUCUGAAUUUGUUUUCUAAGGCUCUGCUGUUCCAUUCUUCCCAAAUACCCCAAAGGAUUGCAUGUGUCACUGUACUCCAAUAUACCGUUCCUUUUUUUCCUAGACCUUUGCCUUUCCACUGCCACAGGUGGUCCACUACCUUCUCAGGGAAAACCUAGCCAUAACCAAGUUUAGGAAGAAACACCAAACCUUCCUAGUGACAGGGCAGUGGAGAAGAAUGUGGUUAUCUGUUUACUGAGAGAAAAGAGCGGGGAACCUGGCUUGAGAAACUUACUUUCGGAGUGUUUGGUCUCGGUAACAGGCAAUAUGAGCAUUUCAAUAGGUGGCAAAGGAUGUGGAUGAGCUCCUUGCUGAACAGGGUGGGAAACGACUUGUCCCUGUGGGUCUUGGAUAUGAUGAUCAGUGUAUUGAAGAUGACUUUGCAACAUGGCGAGAAUUGGUAUGGCCUGAGUUGGAUCAGCUGCUGAGGGAUGAGGAUGAUACAUCUGUUUCCACUCCUUACACUGCUGCUGUUCCAGAGUACCGGGUCAUAUUUUAUGAUCCUGCAGAUGUGCCAGUAAAAGGCAAUAACUGGAGUAAUGCAAAUAAAUGGUCAUGCUGUAUAUGAUAUUCAACAUCCAUGCAGGUCUAAUGUGGUUGUGCGGAGAGAACUUCACACCCCAGAAUCUGAUCGUUCUUGCAUUCAUGUUGAAUUUGACAUUUCAGGCACUCGUUCAAGUGGCAUGGCAAUUUUGUUUUCGUGAGUUUUGUUCUUGUUUGGUGCAAUAUUUAGGUACUGUGAACUACCAUGAAUUUGUUCAUGUUUUAUUAGAUAUAAUUCAUAAAUCAUAAUUGUUAGUGAGAAUGAUUUGAUUUUAAAGAUGUCAUCAGAUGGAAGUUCUUAUGACAGAACCGGUUUAAUUACAUGAAUUCUCAAUGCGUGUAUAUG